Molecule: transfer RNA, 68 nt
Filed under: Phobaeticus serratipes
Lineage: Eukaryota; Metazoa; Arthropoda; Insecta; Phasmatodea; Phasmatidae
Description: tRNA-Tyr
Source: RNAcentral
AGUAAAGUGGCUGAAAUAUUAAUAGGCAAUAAAUUGUAAAUUUAUUUAUGGAUGAUAUCCCUUUAUUA